Molecule: ribosomal RNA, 301 nt
Filed under: uncultured bacterium
Lineage: Bacteria
Description: partial 16S ribosomal RNA
Rfam family: Bacterial small subunit ribosomal RNA
Source: RNAcentral
CAGCAGCCGCGGUAAUACGAAGGGUGCAAGCGUUAAUCGGAAUUACUGGGCGUAAAGCGUGCGCAGGCGGUUUGUUAAGUCUGCUGUGAAAUCCCCGGGCUCAACCUGGGAAUGGCAGUGGAUACUGGCAAGCUAGAGUGUGUCAGAGGAUGGUGGAAUUCCCGGUGUAGCGGUGAAAUGCGUAGAGAUCGGGAGGAACAUCAGUGGCGAAGGCGGCCAUCUGGGACAACACUGACGCUGAGGCACGAAAGCGUGGGGAGCAAACAGGAUUAGAUACCCGCGUAGUCCCUGUCUCUUAUAA